GACAAUAAAGCAGUUAAAUUCCAAAGAGUCUGUAUGGGUUAAUUCAAAUGCACAAUGUGGCAGUGCUGGAAUAAUCAAUUUAAAAAAUAUAUAUUAUUCAUGUGUGCGAAAUGAAGGAAUAUAUUUGAAGAAUUUCAAAUGAGGUACAUGGAGACAAGAGUAAAACAAAAAUUGAAAACAGGAUAUGAUGAUCAGUUUGUAAUUUGUGUUUGUUUUCUGGUGUGUAUUGAUGGUUUCAACUGAUGGCUAGUGAGCAAACUUAGAGGUGGGCGUUAUGAGGAUAUACGAAGAUGACAGUAAAAUAGUGUUUUUACCUUUUCAACUAGUGUUGUGUUGUCAUUUGUCGCCUGAAGCAAGCUGCGAGUAAUAAGAGCGUCAGAGGACAUUGAUUGAUGUGAUUAGAUGGGCAAAAACCUUGUUUUUUCAGUAAGUACAUACUCAACACACUUAUUACAACUACAUUUUACAUUUUGUUUUACAUGACUUGUCGAAAAGAGAAGUGUGUUGAGGCAAUUCUGCUGAUCUAGUCCCAUCCCGAUUUCAACCAAGGAUUUCACUGCCAGACACACAAUCUACAUAUCUACAGUACUAUCUAUUAUACCACCAUAACCAAGGAAAAAGGAAGAAACAAAGGAAACAGAAAUUUGACAUAGUAUAACAUACGAUUUGAAUACAGCAAUGACAAGUUAAAUGGAAGUUGAUAGUAACAAUUGAUAGCAAUUUGAUUUGAAUACAGCAAUGACAAGUUAACUGGAAGUUUUAACAUAUUUUAACAGUUUGAUUUGAAUGCAACAGUAACAAUUUAAUCGGUUUUAAGAGCGUUGGAGUCACAAUCUCGCACACGCUCUGGGCUCCAUCACCUGGGCUCUCUGCUCUCAGCCCUCCGGUUGCUUUCCAAGGCUGGAAGUCCCUUAUUUUCAAGGGCGCUAGACUUUGUUCCUUUCAGCUUAUUUUACAGGUGCAACCCCAUGAGGGUCAACGUCAAGUGGAAAUGUUUUGAUUGUGACUUUCGAGAUCUGCACAAUACUAAAAAUUACAUUACAGUAGAUUUCCAAUUUUUUCAAUAAUUUAAUGUCAAUACUAUUUUGUGCAAAAAUAUGCAGGCUACUUUGCUUCUGUUUACAUUUGAUAGUUUUCUAUAGCAAUUCUAGUGGAUGCAUUUUUCAUUUGAUACAGGGCUGUAUAAUAAAGUGAGAAAAGGUCAGUAGUCAUGGUGUGUGGUAUCAUUUUGUACAGAAUAACUGAAAACAUAUCAUGGUACAUUGUGUUUUAAAAUGGUGUGUAUUGUGAUUUCUUUUUUUUAUGUCGCACAGCACUAACUUGGGAUGUGAAUAAUAAACAGAUCAGUUGAA
Long non-coding RNA from Syngnathus acus (greater pipefish), 1352 nucleotides. RefSeq lists it as uncharacterized. The transcript is spliced from 3 exons. NCBI's taxonomy places the organism in Eukaryota, Metazoa, Chordata, Actinopteri, Syngnathiformes, Syngnathidae. The record is from RefSeq and is a predicted model, not a curated record.